UUCAAAGAAUUUAUGACGAAAUAGCUUUAAGAUACAGAAGCAAGUUUCUACGUCCAGAGACGAUACUAGAAAGGUAGCAAUAUCAGAGUAAAGGAAAUACUGUAGUGAGUACAAGAAUCUAAUCACAACACAUAUAAUAAUAGUUAAAUGGCAGUUAUAUAGAGCAACUGCAAGAGAAAGUAAAGAAGUUUUGGUUCUUAAUACAUCUUUUAUAGAAACUCUGUAAACAUACACCAAUACCAUCUGCAGCUACUUAGGGCCAAUGUCCUUGAUACCACAAAUCUGCUCCUCUCCCAUGGCAGACAUCACUGAUAGAACCAGGUCUUUCCCCUCAGCAAAACCAUCUUUGACCUGAGCCAGAAGAGUAUCAUCAGUUGGGAGUCUCAAGUCAUCCUUGGUGUUACCAUUUCAGUCAACAGACUCACAAAGCCAUCCUCAGAGAUAUCAAUAAGUUGAUAAUCAGUCCUAUUCACAUGAGGAACAUCACAAUUGUGAGAAGAGGGAACAAUAUCCUCAAGUUUCUUUCCAGUGAAAAUGUCAAUUGCCACGAAGUGACAUUUAGCAUGACCGUGCUUGCCUGUCUUGGAAGUUGAAACUUCAACCACCUUGCAAGGACGAUUUUUUAUGACGAUGUGACCACCUUUACGAAUAGUACCAGCUUGUUGA
This 666-nucleotide unclassified non-coding RNA is filed under the name Hevea brasiliensis (rubber tree). Lineage: Eukaryota; Viridiplantae; Streptophyta; Magnoliopsida; Malpighiales; Euphorbiaceae. The record is from RNAcentral.